This 77-nucleotide transfer RNA is filed under the name Thermogemmatispora aurantia. RNAcentral's name for it is "tRNA-Gly". It matches the Rfam family "tRNA". Rfam says of the family: Transfer RNA (tRNA) molecules are approximately 80 nucleotides in length. Their secondary structure includes four short double-helical elements and three loops (D, anti-codon, and T loops). RNAcentral also lists the same sequence under 1 other name. Lineage: Bacteria; Bacillati; Chloroflexota; Ktedonobacteria; Thermogemmatisporales; Thermogemmatisporaceae. The record is from RNAcentral.
GGCGGGAGUAACUCAGGUGGUAGAGUACCUGCCUUCCAAGCAGGCUGUCGCGGGUUCGAGUCCCGUCUCCCGCUCCC